GGGCUAUUAGCUCAGUUGGUUAGAGCACACCCCUGAUAAGGGUGAGGCCCCUGGUUCAAGUCCAGGAUAGCCCA
RNAcentral lists this transfer RNA (74 nucleotides) under Neogoniolithon spectabile. RNAcentral describes it as "tRNA-Ile". It matches the Rfam family "tRNA". Rfam says of the family: Transfer RNA (tRNA) molecules are approximately 80 nucleotides in length. Their secondary structure includes four short double-helical elements and three loops (D, anti-codon, and T loops). The record is from RNAcentral. Lineage: Eukaryota; Rhodophyta; Florideophyceae; Corallinales; Spongitidaceae. RNAcentral also lists the same sequence under 2 other names.